RNAcentral lists this ribosomal RNA (299 nucleotides) under uncultured bacterium. RNAcentral's name for it is "partial 16S ribosomal RNA". It matches the Rfam family "Bacterial small subunit ribosomal RNA", at positions 334 to 647 of the family's 1533-position model. The record is from RNAcentral.
CUGCCCUACGGGACGCAGCAGGGGGGAAUAUUGGACAAUGGGGGGAACCCUGAUCCAGCGACGCCGCGUGAGUGAAGAAGUAUUUCGGUAUGUAAAGCUCUAUCAGCAGGGAAGAAAGAAAUGACGGUACCUGACUAAGAAGCCCCGGCUAACUACGUGCCAGCAGCCGCGGUAAUACGUAGGGGGCAAGCGUUAUCCGGAUUUACUGGGUGUAAAGGGAGCGUAGACGGCGAUGCAAGUCUGCAGUGAAAGGCGGGAGCUCAACCCGCGGACUGCUUUGGAAACUGGAUGGCUGGAGU